Molecule: ribosomal RNA, 408 nt
Filed under: uncultured Mycetocola sp.
Lineage: Bacteria; Bacillati; Actinomycetota; Actinomycetes; Micrococcales; Microbacteriaceae
Description: bacterial SSU rRNA
Rfam family: Bacterial small subunit ribosomal RNA
Source: RNAcentral
CCUAUGAGACGGGCAGAAUGGUCAACUCUUUGGACACUCGUAAACAGGUGGUGCAUGGUUGUCGUCAGCUCGUGUCGUGAGAUGUUGGGUUAAGUCCCGCAACGAGCGCAACCCUCGUUCUAUGUUGCCAGCACGUAAUGGUGGGAACUCAUGGGAUACUGCCGGGGUCAACUCGGAGGAAGGUGGGGACGACGUCAAAUCAUCAUGCCCCUUAUGUCUUGGGCUUCACGCAUGCUACAAUGGCCAGUACAAAGGGCUGCAAUACCGUAAGGUGGAGCGAAUCCCAAAAAGCUGGUCCCAGUUCGGAUUGAGGUCUGCAACUCGACCUCAUGAAGUCGGAGUCGCUAGUAAUCGCAGAUCAGCAACGCUGCGGUGAAUACGUUCCCGGGCCUUGUACACACCGAAACC